This 253-nucleotide ribosomal RNA is filed under the name uncultured bacterium. Its description in RNAcentral is "partial 16S ribosomal RNA". It matches the Rfam family "Bacterial small subunit ribosomal RNA", at positions 524 to 776 of the family's 1533-position model. The record is from RNAcentral.
UACGGAGGAUCCGAGCGUUAUCCGGAUUUAUUGGGUUUAAAGGGUGCGUAGGCGGCCUUGUAAGUCAGGGGUGAAAGACGGUAGCUUAACUAUCGCAGUGCCUUUGAUACUGCAGGGCUUGAAUGUACUUGAGGUAGGCGGAAUGUGACAAGUAGCGGUGAAAUGCAUAGAUAUGUCACAGAACACCAAUUGCGAAGGCAGCUUACUAAAGUAUGAUUGACGCUGAGGCACGGAAGCGUGGGGAUCAAACAGG